RNAcentral lists this long non-coding RNA (1019 nucleotides) under Parus major (Great Tit). Its description in RNAcentral is "lncRNA (ENSPMJG00000017278.1)". The record is from RNAcentral. Lineage: Eukaryota; Metazoa; Chordata; Aves; Passeriformes; Paridae.
GGCAGUAAAAGCAUAUCACUGUGUCUUCAUUGUGCUUUGCAUGACUGUGGUUUGUCCAGCAUAGCCAGUGGUUUGUUAACCACCUGAUAGCUCACUGCCUCCUCUCCUUCACUGCUUUGCCAGGUAUUGCCCCAAAAUCAGAUGAGGAAAACAACAUGUGAAUGUGGAGGUAUGACAAAGGAAUCACUGCACAGCAUCCAAACUCUUUUUCCAAGGAGAGCUGUUCCUGAGGAUGGCCCCAGCUCUUCUAGAGGUGCUCCCACACCCCCAGCAGCAGCCCAAGAUUCAGCGUUGACAGGGGUUGUUCUGAAUGUAACAGGAUCCCACGGCAGAUGUAAACCAGACUCCAGGCAUUUGCUUCGUGUUUCAGCGAGGAGGUCAGUGCAUGAAUUUGCCUGUGAAAACAUUGAUGCGAGGCUGCCAGCAUUCCCCACUCAAGAGCCGGGUGACAAAUGACGUGGUGUUAGUUUGUGAAUGGAGUGUGGGCAGCUGCUGAGCUGUUUUGCCACGGAGCUCUCCGAGAAAACAUCUCUCCCUGCGUGGGGCCAGGAGCUGAGCACUGGCCAUCACCUGCCCAGGCUGGUGGGGACACACAGACCUCCUGCCCUGCCCUGCCCUGCCCUGCCAUCACACCGGCUGCCUUUACACCUCCCCUUACUUCUGCAAGGAGUUAUGUUCUGCCUGGCUCCUACAGAAUGGGGGUGUUGUAGGUCUUGUUUUGCUCGUGGGGAGUGAGGGUUUCCAGUAAGGACUUGUUUGCAGCCAAAACUUUCUUAGAGGCUCUGCACGUUCCUCUCUGCUCUGAGGCUGCCCAGGAAGCCUUAGCUGGAGUACAUAAUCAUAUUUAGCUCCCUUCAAGCUGCUCCCCGAUUGAUUCACCUCUAUCAGACAAACUUCUCAAUGAAUUUUACUGCUGCUGUUUUGGGCAGUAGAGCAACCUCAUCUCCUGUUGGGGGAACAGAUGUUGCUGGUGGCACAGGGUUUGCUGAGUCCUUAACAAACAUGAUUUUUAAUUUGGG